GACCAGAGCCAAGCAGCCAGCAGGUGCUUGAUUGCGGCAACCAUUUUAGAUCUCUGGCCACCCAUAUAAACAGAUCAGUUUCCUGCUGGCAAAGGAGGCAGUAGCAUCAUCUGGCUGCAAGGCUCCAUAACAUUCUGGAGGCCUGACACUCUCCAGGAAAGCAGGCAGCCAUCUCUCUUCUUCUCACAGAGGAAUCCUAGUCUCACUUUGGACCAAGAAAAAGGAAGCCUGAGAGGGUUUUUCAGAACUAACAGAAUGCUGUUAUACCGCACAGAAUCCUCAAAAGUAUGAACAUUUGGAAAUGAAUAAUGGAUGGAUACAGCCACUUCAUUCAUGCCACAUGUUCCUUUGCCAUUUAACAACUACUCAUGGCAAAACGGAGCCUCUUCAAAAUUGUGAAUGGGGAUGGAGAGAAUCAGAAUAAGAAAACCUAAGACCCAAGUGGCUACAAUAUUCACCAGCUGUGUGAGGGGCCUGAUUUGAAGACUGUGAGCACUUGUACACGGGCAUGAGUUUGUUUGGGUUUGUUUGUUUGUUUUUCAAUCAAUCUAUUCUUCAUGUCUUUCUGUGUCCCUCAAUGUGACACGAUGUUUCCAGUACCUAUUUUGCACGUGACAUGUCCAAAAACUCACAAUUGCUCAAUGUGCUAUUACAAAUAAAAUACACGAGAGAGAGCUGCAUAACAACUCUAUCCUGCUAAUCUCUUACUACUAAAUUACAGCAGGGGGCAUUUGUGACGUCACAUGUGCCAUCUAGUUUAAUUAAGUGAUAUAUUUUACUUAAUUGUAACAAGUUUUUCAUCAUGUUAUACAUUGGCAUGCCUACUGUAAGCAAUGUAUUCUGUCUUCUGACUUUAAAGUUAAUCAUUAUUUCUAAUAUUUUUAAUUUUUUGUAAUUAUUAUCCUUUUAAAAAUAUAUA
Alligator mississippiensis (American alligator) is the source of this 919-nucleotide long non-coding RNA. RefSeq lists it as uncharacterized. The record is from RefSeq and is a predicted model, not a curated record. The transcript has 4 exons. NCBI's taxonomy places the organism in Eukaryota, Metazoa, Chordata, Crocodylia, Alligatoridae.